RNAcentral lists this ribosomal RNA (278 nucleotides) under Ureibacillus thermosphaericus. RNAcentral describes it as "partial 16S ribosomal RNA". It matches the Rfam family "Bacterial small subunit ribosomal RNA", at positions 102 to 374 of the family's 1533-position model. Lineage: Bacteria; Bacillati; Bacillota; Bacilli; Caryophanales; Caryophanaceae. The record is from RNAcentral.
ACGGGUGAGUAACACGUGGGUAACCUGCCCUAUAGACUGGGAUAACUCGCGGAAACGCGUGCUAAUACCGGAUAACACAUCAAAGUGCAUGCUUUGAUGUUGAAAGAUGGUUCUGCUAUCACUAUAGGAUGGGCCCGCGGCGCAUUAUCUUGUUGGUGGGGUAACGGCCUACCAAGGCGACGAUGCGUUGCCGACCUGAGAGGGGGAUCGGCCCCCCUGGGACUGAAACACGGCCCAAACUCCUACGGGAGGAACCAGAAGGGAAUUCUCCACAAUGG